RNAcentral lists this ribosomal RNA (601 nucleotides) under uncultured bacterium. RNAcentral's name for it is "bacterial SSU rRNA". It matches the Rfam family "Bacterial small subunit ribosomal RNA", at positions 744 to 1352 of the family's 1533-position model. The record is from RNAcentral.
CGCUCAGGCACGAAAGUGCGGGGAUCGAACAGGAUUAGAUACCCUGGUAGUCCGCACAGUAAACGAUGAAUACUUGCUUUUGGCGAUACAAUGUCAGAGGCAAAGCGAAAGCGAUAAGUAUUCCACCUGGGGAGUACGCCGGCAACGGUGAAACUCAAAGGAAUUGACGGGGGCCCGCACAAGCGGAGGAACAUGUGGUUUAAUUCGAUGCUACGCGAGGAACCUUACCCGGGCUUGAAAGUUAGCGACGGCGGAUGAAAGUCUGCUUCCCUUCGGGGCGCGAAACUAGGUGCUGCAUGGUUGUCGUCAGCUCGUGCCGUGAGGUGUCGGCUUAAGUGCCAUAACGAGCGCAACCCUUUUCUCCAGUUGCCAUCAUUCGGUUGGGGACUCUGGAGACACUGCCAUCGUAAGAUGCGAGGAAGGAUGGGAUGACGUCAAAUCAGCACGGCCCUUACGUCCGGGGCGACACACGUGUUACAAUGGGGAGGACAGAAAGCGGCGACACAGCGAUGUGGAGCGAAUCUCGAAACCUUCUCCCAGUUCGGAUCGGAGUCUGCAACCCGACUCCGUGAAGCUGGAUUCGCUAGUAAUCGCGCAUCAG